UACGUAGGGGGCAAGCGUUGUCCGGAUUUAUUGGGCGUAAAGAGCGUGUAGGCGGCCAGGUAGGUCUGCUGUGAAAACUCGAGGCUCAACCUCGAGACGCCGGUUGAAACCAUCUGGCUAGAGUCCGGAAGAGGAGAGUGGAAUUCCUGGUGUAGCGGUGAAAUGCGCAGAUAUCAGGAAGAACACCCGUGGCUAAGGCGGCUCUCUAGUACGGUACUGACGCUGAGACGCGAAAGCGUGGGGAGCGAACAGG
This 253-nucleotide ribosomal RNA is filed under the name uncultured bacterium. RNAcentral describes it as "partial 16S ribosomal RNA". It matches the Rfam family "Bacterial small subunit ribosomal RNA", at positions 524 to 776 of the family's 1533-position model. The record is from RNAcentral.